GACGAACGCUGGCGGCGUGCCUAAUACAUGCAAGUCGAACGCACAGUUUAUACCGUAGCUUGCUACACCAUAGACUGUGAGUUGCGAACGGGUGAGUAACGCGUAGGUAACCUGCCUGGUAGCGGGGGAUAACUAUUGGAAACGAUAGCUAAUACCGCAUAAUAUUAAUUAUUGCAUGAUAAUUAAUUGAAAGGUGCAAUUGCACCACUACCAGAUGGACCUGCGUUGUAUUAGCUAGUAGGUGAGGUAACGGCUCACCUAGGCGACGAUACAUAGCCGACCUGCAAAGGUGAUCGGCCACACUGGGACUGAGACACGGCCCAGACUCCUACGGGAGGCAGCAGUAGGGAAUCUUCGGCAAUGGACGAAAGUCUGAACGAGCAACGCCGCGUGAGUGAAGAAGGUUGUCGGGUCGUAUAGGUCUGUUGUAAGAGAAGAACGGGUGUGAGAGUGGAAAGUUCACACUGUGACGGUAUCUUACCAGAAAGGGACGGCUAACUACGUG
Molecule: ribosomal RNA, 505 nt
Filed under: uncultured bacterium
Lineage: Bacteria
Description: partial 16S ribosomal RNA
Rfam family: Bacterial small subunit ribosomal RNA
Source: RNAcentral